RNAcentral lists this transfer RNA (63 nucleotides) under Staphylinidae sp. BMNH 1274634. RNAcentral describes it as "tRNA-Glu". The record is from RNAcentral. Lineage: Eukaryota; Metazoa; Arthropoda; Insecta; Coleoptera; Staphylinidae.
AUUUAUAUAGUUUAAAAAAAACCUAGUAUUUUCAUUACUAAAUUGAAUUUUAUUCUAUAAAUA